This 756-nucleotide long non-coding RNA is filed under the name Marmota monax (woodchuck). Lineage: Eukaryota; Metazoa; Chordata; Mammalia; Rodentia; Sciuridae. The record is from RNAcentral.
GAGCAGUUCAUCAAGCUCUGGUCAAUUAAAAAGUAGCCCUGAGCCCAGUCCACUCUGGGGCCAUUCUGCUCACUGGCCGUGUGUGCCCAGGCUGACUGUGUGUGCCCAGGUCUUUCUGCGCAGACAGUCCUUCAGAGGGACAGACAGCGCUUCCUCCUUCCCCCCACUCCACACACCUCAGAGGCCAGAGCCAAGCGAGUUGCAGGCACAAGUGCACAGACGUCCCGAGGCAGGCAGAUGGUGGACGGCUCUCUGGCUCCUACAGAAUCCAAAUCAAGCUAAUUCCAUUCAAAUUCCUUCCCAGCCCAUGUUGUGCCUUCCCAAGGUUGCCGAAAUUGAAUUCAAACUCCAAAAACACAUGCUGGCCAGGCUCAAAGAGCCACUGCCGAUUGCAAACACAUGGCCCAGCAGUGCAGGGGACGCUUUAGGGUGCCUGGUGUUGUUGAUUAUGUGGGAUAAUCACAAGAAGCAUCCCUCAAAGCCCUCGCCCUCGCACACAGCACAUGGUAAAAAAAUAACAUAAAAAUCUGUUUUUCAAACAAAGCACUAAAACAAAACAAAAAUCCUGAUGAAAGUGCUUAAUGGUCCUGAAGAUGGAAAUUCAAUCUUUGACUUGAUUUUUUACAGGUGUGUGCAUGGAAAAUGUCACAUGAAGCAAGAUGCUCUAGUUGGGAUUUCUUGCAGCUGUGGGUGCAAGUUUGAAAUAAGAAAGAUCAAAAUCAAUGACCAUAAAGUCUUCAGCAUAAAGAUAUCUUU